UACGUAGGGGGCGGGCGUUAUCCGGAUUCAUUGGGCGUAAAGCGCGCGUAGGCGGCCGCCUAAGCGGAACCUCUAACCCCGGGGCUCAACCUCGGGCCGGGUUCCGGACUGGGCGGCUCGAGUGCGGUAGAGGAGAGCGGAAUUCCCGGUGUAGCGGUGGAAUGCGCAGAUAUCGGGAAGAACACCGAUGGCGAAGGCAGCUCUCUGGGCCGUCACUGACGCUGAGGCGCGAAAGCUGGGGGAGCGAACAGG
Molecule: ribosomal RNA, 252 nt
Filed under: uncultured bacterium
Lineage: Bacteria
Description: partial 16S ribosomal RNA
Rfam family: Bacterial small subunit ribosomal RNA
Source: RNAcentral